AACAUGGCGUCCCACAGGAAUGAACUGGUGCAGGAGUUGUGGCUAGCAAUACUCCUUCUUAUCGUUGUCGACAUUUCAGAGGAAAUUUCCGUUACACUCGUUAAUCAGCCAAUUAGAGCCAAGGAUUCCGACGUGAUGGUCGAGUUACCAUGUGACUUCAAGAUGACAACGUACGAGACUCCACAAAUCACGUGGUUCCAAGAGAAAGUUGGACAGAGGAUACAAAUCAUGCAGUAUGACAUUCACAACCGCUUAUCUUCUUAUGGCGAGUUUUAAAAACCGUGUUGCCCGGGGAGACCGAGGAUCUCUGGUUCUGUUCCAGCCAAGGUCAGAAGAUUCGGGUAACUACACGUGCGAGGUCGAAGUGGACAACGAAACCCCCAGCUGGGUAAAAAGCACGAUCACCCUACAAAUAUCAGAUUCUAGCCUAACAGACAGAGUUACUGCCCUUUGCGGUUUGUCAUGAUUUCCCUGUACUGGCUUGUCUCGGUGGUGUGUGCAUUUCUUACCGGCAGAGAUCCCAAGAGCCUCUUUCGGAAUGCUUGUACAAAACAACAGACAACAUGUGUUUUCAUCUGUCUGGUGAUUAUAUGCGCCAUGGGUCUGACACUCGCAGGGGCCAUAUUUGCAGCUAGCGCCUUUCAUACCUCGCUCAGUUAUAAUUACAUCUUGGCAGCGUCGCUUGGAACUGGAAUCCCAGGAAGCCUGAUGUUUCUUGCGGUAGCCUUCAUGUGGCCAUGCUUUCCAGAGAACUGGUGGUGUAAGAAAAAAUACCGUGAAAUAUUUGACAAUUGCACAUCUUCUGCAACGCCUGGUUCGGAGGUUAGGUUCUCCAAGACAGAAGUACAACCGGAAGAGAGGGCACCUCUGUACCGAACAACAAAUAUCACGCAUAUUUCUAAAGAGAAUACAAAAGUGACUUCGGUACAAAACCCCGAUGGAGAUAAUAUCACAGGCAUGACCUCUUUGUCGUACAAAAAUGUUUACGUUACAACAACGUCUUCUUUGUAUAACAUAAACGUAGAUGAAGAAGACGAAAAAGCACAGUUUAAGCUUGUUUCUGACAGAGAAGAACAAUUGCUGUCGCUUGGAAAUUUCAAAGAUGGCUUGUUGGUAUGCGCACGGCAAAAAAACUGACAAGGAACAAAACACGAGCUAUUUUAUACAUUGUAGCCCAGAGAAUAAACUAUCUAAGAUUUUUCUCAACGUGAAGUCUACCAUAUUGUGGUGUCAGGCAGAUCGAGCUAACAGACAUGUGUACACAGCAUUUUCAGAUCCUGACCAUGUGGUGAAAUUAGACUGGGAGAAAAAAAAUGGACCUGUCAUGUGGAAAAAUGUCUUGAAGAAACCCGUGUGUAUAGUUCGGAACUCGCGUGGGCAGUUAAUUGUGGCAGAUGCUGUCAAAAAUGACCUCUUCGUAUUUGACGAAACUGAUGACUUUUUGUCAACUAUGAAAGUCUCUGUGCCUAGGGAACAUGAACACAAGCUAAACGGGUGUAACAGGCUGGCUGUAGCGCCUGACGACACAGUCUUUGCCUCCAGUCCGUUUUGUGACGACGUGCUUGUCUUUGCUCCGGACUUUCGUUUCCGUACUCUGCUGCGUGGAGACGCUUUUGCCAGCGGCGGAAUAUCCUGUCUUCUCGCAGACAGCCAUUCGUUAUACGUCGCUGAUGGUGACUGCAUUCACGUUGUGUCCCUUACACAAAUAAACUUCUAGACCUUGGUCUAUGUCAAUACCGAUAAGUUAAAGAUGUUUUGGCUGUCACUGGCAACAAGAGCAACCAAUGGCAAACCGGAAAAAUGUGAGUGUAACUGCUUUGCACAGUGUAGUGUUAAUGCUUUGCACAGUGUGGUGUGUUAUGUGAACAACUGCCGUUACCUUCUAAAUUUAGCUUGCCACUGUUUACAUAUGCUGAGUUCAGGCCCUGCUGUCUGCCUCUGCCUUAGAGUAUUCCAGAAUACGAAUUUUCUUAGUCUAGAAAAUUCCACCAGUCUAUAUAAGACCUAUGAAAGCAGGUCAACGGAGGAGAAAGGAGAAUUAUUGAGAGUUUUGGAUGCUUUCGCUGUGUGUUACUUUUUAGUAGGCCUUUUGUGCUGAAUUUUGGUGUCUUUAUAGCCUCUGGCUUUGUUCUAUCAUAUCUUCACCGAGCACUUGUUCAGUUUGAACUUGUAUAUUUGAUUUGUGCUCCUGUGUACACAGUACUUAUUAGUACUCGGACCCUGUCUGUGGAAUUUUGUGUAUAUUUCGUCAUACACUCAGUUAUACUGUGGAUUUUCCCUCUUGUGAAUAUUGCCUCUGUCCAUUUUUAAGCAUUGUGGAGUAUAUACGUCCGUUUGGACUUGACAAUGUUGUACAUGUAAGUACUUUAUUAUUUGUAUAGAUACUGCUAUCCUUCCUUGUUAAACUUAAGUACUUUAGUAUUUGCCUAAAUCUUGUCAUCUGUUGUUGUUUAACCUAAUAAAUUGUUGAAAAAUAAAAUCUGCUGGUUUUGGUUACUUUUUUGUGCGGCUAAACUGUCGUGAAUUUCGAACAAGCCAUCUCUUUAUAAUACAGACAGUUUGGGUCGUAACAAGUGCUACUGAUUUGCACAGUGUAGUGUUAAUGCUUUGCACAGUGUAGUGUAACUGCUUUGCACAGU
This is a long non-coding RNA of Liolophura sinensis, 2639 nucleotides long. RefSeq lists it as uncharacterized. NCBI's taxonomy places the organism in Eukaryota, Metazoa, Mollusca, Polyplacophora, Chitonida, Chitonidae. The transcript is spliced from 5 exons. The record is from RefSeq and is a predicted model, not a curated record.